ACGGGUGAGUAACGCGUGGAUAACCUGCCGUAUACAGGGGGAUAACACUUAGAAAUAGGUGCUAAUACCGCAUAAGCGCACGGUUCCGCAUGGAACAGUGUGAAAAACUCCGGUGGUAUACGAUGGAUCCGCGUCUGAUUAGCCAGUUGGCGGGGUAACGGCCCACCAAAGCGACGAUCAGUAGCCGGCCUGAGAGGGUGAACGGCCACAUUGGGACUGAGACACGGCCCAAACUCCUACGGGAGGCAGCAGUGGGGAAUAUUGCACAAUGGGGGAAACCCUGAUGCAGCGACGCCGCGUGAGUGAAGAAGUAUUUCGGUACGUAAAGCUCUAUCAGCAGGGAAGAAAAAAAGUCCUUUGGACUUUGGACGGUACCUGACCAAGAAGCCCCGGCUAACUACGUGCCAGCAGCCGCGGUAAUACGUAGGGGGCAAGCGUUAUCCGGAUUUACUGGGUGUAAAGGGAGCGUAGACGGCAGCGCAAGUCUGGAGUGAAAUGCCGGGGCCCAACCCCGGAACUGCUUUGGAAACUGUGCAGCUCGAGUGCAGGAGAGGUAAGCGGAAUUCCUAGUGUAGCGGUGAAAUGCGUAGAUAUUAGGAGGAACACCAGUGGCGAAGGCGGCUUACUGGACUGUAACUGACGUUGAGGCUCGAAAGCGUGGGGAGCAAACAGGAUUAGAUACCCUGGUAGUCCACGCCGUAAACGAUGAUUACUAGGUGUCGGGGGGCCAAGGCCCUUCGGUGCCGCCGCAAACG
Molecule: ribosomal RNA, 755 nt
Filed under: uncultured bacterium
Lineage: Bacteria
Description: bacterial SSU rRNA
Rfam family: Bacterial small subunit ribosomal RNA
Source: RNAcentral